RNAcentral lists this transfer RNA (76 nucleotides) under Rhodoferax sp. Its description in RNAcentral is "tRNA-Thr". It matches the Rfam family "tRNA". Rfam says of the family: Transfer RNA (tRNA) molecules are approximately 80 nucleotides in length. Their secondary structure includes four short double-helical elements and three loops (D, anti-codon, and T loops). Lineage: Bacteria; Pseudomonadati; Pseudomonadota; Betaproteobacteria; Burkholderiales; Comamonadaceae. The record is from RNAcentral. RNAcentral also lists the same sequence under 5 other names.
GCCGGUUUAGCUCAGUUGGUAGAGCACCCGCCUUGUAAGCGGUAGGUCGUCAGUUCGAAUCCGACAAUCGGCACCA